UACGUAGGUGGCGAGCGUUGUCCGGAUUUACUGGGCGUAAAGAGCGCGCAGGCGGUCGUUCAAGUCGCGUGUGAAAGCCCCCGGCUCAACUGGGGAGGGUCACGCGAUACUGAUCGACUCGAAGGCAGGAGAGGGUAGUGGAAUUCCCGGUGUAGUGGUGAAAUGCGUAGAUAUCGGGAGGAACACCAGUGGCGAAGGCGACUACCUGGCCUGUUCUUGACGCCGAGGCGCGAAAGCUAGGGGAGCAAACGGG
RNAcentral lists this ribosomal RNA (253 nucleotides) under uncultured bacterium. RNAcentral describes it as "partial 16S ribosomal RNA". It matches the Rfam family "Bacterial small subunit ribosomal RNA", at positions 524 to 776 of the family's 1533-position model. The record is from RNAcentral.